RNAcentral lists this unclassified non-coding RNA (384 nucleotides) under uncultured bacterium. Its description in RNAcentral is "contains 16S-23S intergenic spacer region". The record is from RNAcentral.
UCCUGGUUUCCCAGGCAGUCUCAUCAGAGUGCUUCCUCACGGAAUGGCAACUGACGACAGGAGUUGCGCUCGUUAAAGGACUUAACCCAACAUCUCACGACACGAGCUGACGACAGCCAUGCAGCACCUGUAUAAUUGUCCAGGCUUACGCCUGGAAAGCUACAUCUCUGUAGCGAUCAAAAAUAUGUCAAGCCUAGGUAAGGUUCCUCGCGUAGUGUCGAAUUAAACCACAUGUUCCACCGCUUGUGCGGACCCCCGUCAAUUCCUUUGAGUUUUAAUCUUGCGACCGUACUCCCCAGGCGGAUCACUUAUCGCGUUAGCUACGACACUAAUCUCGCAGAGCGAGUUUAACGUCUAGUGAUCAUCGUUUACGGCGUGGACUAC